UACGUAGGGGGCUAGCGUUGUCCGGAAUCAUUGGGCGUAAAGAGCGUGUAGGCGGCUCGAUAAGUCCGCUGUGAAAGUCCAGGCUCAACCCUGGGAUGCCGGUGGAUACUGUCGGGCUCGAGUCCGGAAGAGGCGAGUGGAAUUCCCGGUGUAGCGGUGAAAUGCGCAGAUAUCAGGAGGAACACCUGCGGUGUAGACGGCUUUCUGGACCAUUGUUGACGCUGAGACACGAAAGCGUGGGUAGCAAACAGG
Molecule: ribosomal RNA, 252 nt
Filed under: uncultured bacterium
Lineage: Bacteria
Description: partial 16S ribosomal RNA
Rfam family: Bacterial small subunit ribosomal RNA
Source: RNAcentral